GGACUAUCAUCUCGUGUAUACAAAGAGAUUGCACAUGUGAUAACUUCUCAGAAAGUUUAACUACUUGUCCAAGAGAACGCAUACGUAGACCUCGGGUAUGCAUGAAAUCAGUUAAGGUUCGACCAUCUACUGGUGAGAGUUCUAAAGAGCCAAAAUCAGCCACCAGCUUUGGCAGGGCAACUUCAUUAUAGUACUUCUGUGACAGAUCAAUCAGCUCUUCCAAAGACUUAAGGUGAAGUCCAGUCUCUGACUCCUUCAACCUUGUAAAGCCAGCAUCAGACAACAAUGCCUUGAGGACGACCUGAUUUUGAUCUGUAUCUGUCUCAAACUGAGACUCCCCAG
RNAcentral lists this unclassified non-coding RNA (342 nucleotides) under Hevea brasiliensis (rubber tree). The record is from RNAcentral. Lineage: Eukaryota; Viridiplantae; Streptophyta; Magnoliopsida; Malpighiales; Euphorbiaceae.